UGGAUCCGGCUGUGGUCCUGGUGCUCUGUCUCUCUCUGCUGUCUGCUUCUCCUCUCACUCUGGAAACAGAGCUCUGGGAAAGGGCAGCUCCAGCCUGGCCCCCACUCCUCUCCCAAUUCUUGGAAAUAUCCUACAGUUAGAUGUUAAGGACAUCGGCAAAUCCUUAACCAAUCUCUCAAAAGUGUAUGGCCCUGUGCUCACUGGGUAUUUUGGCUUGAAGCCCACCAUAGUGUUGCAUGGUUAUGAAGCAGUGAAAGAAGCCCUGAUUGAUCUGUGAGAAGAGUUUUCUGGAAGAGGCAUUCUCCCUGUGCCUCAAAGAGUUAAUAAAGGACAUGGAAUCCUCUUUAGCAAUGGAAAGAGAUGGAAGGAGAUCUGGCGCAUCUCCCUCAUGACCCUGCGGAAUUUCGGGAUGGGGAAGAGGAGCAUUGAGGACCGAGUUCAAGAGGGAACCCACUGCCUUGUGGAGGAGUUGAGAAAAACCAGUGGGUCACCCUGUGACCCCACUUUCAUCCUGGGCUGUGCUCCCUGCAAUGUGAUCUGCUCCAUUAUUUUCCAGAAUCGUUUUGAUUAUACAGAUCAGAAUUUUCUUAUAGGAAACUUUAAUGAAAACCUCAGGAUUUAUGAGCUCCCCAUGGAUCCGGGUCUGCAAUAGUUUCCCUGCUCUCAUGGACUAUCUCCCAGGGAGUCAUAACAAAGUACUUAAAAUUUUUGCUUAUGUAAAAAGCUAUGUUUUAGAGAAAUAAAAGAACACCAAGCGUCUCUGGACAUUAACAAUCCUCAGGACUUCAUUGAUUGUUUCCCGAUCAAAAUGGAACAGGAAAAGCACAAUCAACAGAUGGAGUUUACUUUUGAAAACUUGAUAGCCACUGUAACUGAUUUGUUUGGAGCUGGGACAGAGAAAACGAACACCACACUGAGCUAUGGGCUUCUCCUCCUGCUAAAGUGCCGAGAGGUCACAGCUAAAGUCCAGAAAGAGAUUGACUGUGUGAUUGGCAGAAACCAGAGUCCCUGCAUGCAGGACAGGAGCCACAUGCCCUACAUGGAUGCUGUGGUGCAUGAGAUCCAGAGAUACAUUGACCUUAUCCCCACCAACCUGCCCCAUGCAGUGACCUGUGAUGUUAAAUUCAGAAACUGUUUCAUCCCCGGCGGCACGACUAUAGUAACAUUGCUGAGUUCUGUGCUACAUGAUGACAAAGAAUUCCCCAACCCAGAGGUGUUUGACCCAGUCCACUUCCUGGAUGAGAGCGGCAACUUUAAGAAGACUGACUACUUCAUGGCUUUCUCAGCAGAAGAGAAGGUUUCUGUGGAUCCGGCUGUGCUCUUUCUCUCCUGUCUGCUUCUCCUCUCACUCUGGAAACAGAGCUCUGGGAAAGGGCAGCUCCCUCCUGGCCCCCACUCCUCUCUCAAUUCCUGGAGAUAUCCUUAAAUAUUAGAUGUUAAGGACAUCGGCAAAUCCUUAACCAAUGUAAGUAAAGUCUAUGUCCCUGUGUUCACUGUGUAUUUUGGAAUGAAGCCAACGGUGGUCUUGCAUGGAUAUGAAGCAGUGAAGGAAGCUCCGUUUGAUCUGGGAGAGGAGUUUUCUAGAAGAGGCAGUGUCCCAAUGCUUGAAAGAGCUACUAAGGGACAUGGUAGGUUAUGAAUCAUGUUCAGCAAUGGGAAGAGAUGGAAGGAGAUCUGGCGCAUCUCCCUCAUGACCCUGCGGAAUUUCGGGAUGGGGAAGAGGAGCAUUGAGGACCGAGUUCAAGAGGGAACCCACUGCCUUGUGGAGGAGUUGAGAAAAACCGACGGUGGGUGA
Molecule: non-coding RNA, 1795 nt
Organism: Lipotes vexillifer (Yangtze River dolphin)
Lineage: Eukaryota; Metazoa; Chordata; Mammalia; Artiodactyla; Lipotidae
Source: RefSeq, a predicted model, not a curated record